Molecule: long non-coding RNA, 1910 nt
Filed under: Olea europaea subsp. europaea
Lineage: Eukaryota; Viridiplantae; Streptophyta; Magnoliopsida; Lamiales; Oleaceae
Source: RNAcentral
AAGAGAGAGAGAUUUAAAUUAGGAAACAGUAUUUCUAGAAAAUCACUAAAUCUUCUGACGGCCUUAUCAAUAUGGAUAAUACCAAUUAGCUUUCAUAAUCGAAUCCUGAAUAUUUCCCAUUCAUCUAAUUGACGAUUGAAAUCCCUAACCCAUUCAUCUAAAGGGGUCUUAUUGAAGUCUUCAAUUUCUCUCAUUUAGCUCUCUUUCCAGAGUAGCCAAGCAGUGCAAGUGAUUGUUUAUUGGGUAUCCGAAAAAAUGGCCAAUACAAGGAGUUAUGUCAAGAAAACGAAGCCCGAAAUCGACGACGAAUCUGCCAUUGAUCACGAGAAAACAAGAAGGCCAAAAGUCGCGAGGGUAGUUUGCGGAGGAACCCAUAAAAUGCCGAUUAUGUCUCGAAAACCUAAAUCGAUCAAGGUAAUGUAAUUACCUUUCCCAAUUCAGAUUAUGGGUUUUUUCUAUUGCAAUGUUGUUGGAAUAGCAUGAGUUGCAUUCUACCGUUGAUUUAUAGUUCCAGACAUCCCAGAAUCUGUAGCCGGUGACAGUAGAGGUUUUUUGUGUGACCAAUAAUGUGUUGCGACCGACACAGUGAACGGGUUUAUGUCAUGCGUCUGUGACCGCAAAGUUUUUUGUGGUCCAAACAUUGUGUUUUUGUGAGCAUUUGUGUUGUGACUAGUUUAUCGUUGUGAAGCAUGGGUGAAAUUGUGAUCGUGUGUCAACAGAAAGGCAGUAUAUGUUGACACUGUUGUGACUCGUUCAUUUUUGUGAACGACACCGUGUUGGGACCAGCACAUUGAACCGGUUUGUGUCCUCUGUCUGUGAGCUUAUAGGAUACUUUUGUGACCAACAAUAUGUUGUGAUCUUUGUGACCAAUACAAUCGGUGUGAAGAAUGUGUGAAAUGGUGUGUCACAGAUAAGGUAUUUAAAGGAUUGAAAUGUUCUUGUGAUUGGGAUUUUUGUUGUGACCAUUGUAAUCGGUGUCACUAGGGUAUGUGAAGGUAGAUGUGUUUUGUGUGACAAACAGUGUGUUUUGACAAUCACGACCACUACAAUCGAUGUGUCCUAUGUGUGUAAUGGUGUGUUUCAAAAUGUGGAAUAAGUUGAGGCCAUUGUCACCACUUACAAUCUCUAUAACACAGUGCAUGGGUUUGUGACCUUGAUUAUGAUAGUGGAUGUGUUUUAUGUGACCAACUGUGUUUGUGACCACUGUAAUCGGUGUGACCAAUGUGUAAAAAUGGUGUUUUUUCACAAAUAUGGAAUUUCUUGAGACCGUUGAGACCACUAUUUUGGUUGUGACCAACUUGUAUCACGGUUUGUGACGAACCAUAAAAUUGACGAUCUCAGAUGUUUUGUAAUGGUGCGCAGGAAGUAGUAAUUUGUUUAACGUACAUGAUUCAUGUCUGCAUGCACUUGAGUGGUACGUAGGAAGUAGUAAUUUGUUUUGCAAUGAUGCGUAGGAAGUAGUAAUUUGUUUAACGUACAUAAUUCAUUUUAUGUUGCUUACUGUGACGUAAUAAAGUGUGGAUUUUCUUUUCAGCCACGAUUGUAGCAUAUUUGUCAUUAAAUAUGCAGAAUACAUGCUCCAUAACGAAAUGAAGACCAUGCCGACGACCUUUGAUGCUAGCCGAGCUAGGGCUAGACAUUGCUAAGUUACUUUUUAAACAUGAGGAGAUCAAGAAAAUGACAAAGCCGGUGACAAAGAAGGGAGAGAGCAUCGAGAUAGAGUGAUAGUAGAUGAUCAAUUUUAGUGGCUAGUUGGAUAUGCAAUGUCUAUGACUCUUUAGUAGAUUAUCAGUUUUAGUGGCUAGUUGAAUAUGCAAUGUUUAUGACUCUUUUUCAGGUAUGAGACAUACAUGUUUUGAAUUGUUUAUUUUGAUCACCUAUAAUGCCAUUUAAUUUCAUGUGUCUUCCGG